This 303-nucleotide unclassified non-coding RNA is filed under the name plant metagenome. Its description in RNAcentral is "partial contains 5.8S ribosomal RNA, internal transcribed spacer 2, and large subunit ribosomal RNA". The stretch from base 1 to 105 matches the Rfam family "5.8S ribosomal RNA", at positions 50 to 154 of the family's 154-position model. The record is from RNAcentral.
GAAAUGCGAUAAGUAAUGUGAAUUGCAGAAUUCAGUGAAUCAUCGAAUCUUUGAACGCACAUUGCGCCCGCCAGUAUUCUGGCGGGCAUGCCUGUUCGAGCGUCAUUUCAACCAUCAAGCCCCGCGCUUGUGUUGGGGACCUGCGACUGCCGCAGGCCCUGAAAACCAGUGGCGGGCUCGCUGUCACACCGGGCGUAGUAGAUUUUAUCUCGCUCAGGGCGUGCUGCGGGUUCCGGCCGUUAAAAAGCCUUUUUUACCCAAGGUUGACCUCGGAUCAGGUAGGAAGACCCGCUGAACUUAAGC